AUUGAACGCUGGCGGCAUGCUUUACACAUGCAAGUCGAACGGCAGCACGGACUUCGGUCUGGUGGCGAGUGGCGAACGGGUGAGUAAUACAUCGGAACGUACCUGAUAGUGGGGGAUAACGCUUCGAAAGGAGUGCUAAUACCGCAUACGUCCCGAGGGGGAAAGUGGGGGACCAGCAAUGGCCUCACGCUAACAGAGCGGCUGAUGGCUGAUUAGGUAGUUGGUGAGGUAAAGGCUGACCAAGGCGACGAUCAGUAGCGGGUCUUAGAGGACGAUCCGCCACGCUGGAACGUAGACACGGCGCAGCCUCCUACGGGAGGCAGCAGUGGGGAAUCUUGGACAAUGGGCGCAAGCCUGAUCCAGCAAUGCCGCGUGGGUGAAGAAGGCCUUCGGGUUGUAAAGCCCUUUUGUUUGGAAGCAAAGCUUACCUAAUAACACUAGGUGAGGAUGAGAGUGCCAAAAGAAUCAGCACCGGCUAACUACGUGCCAGCCGCCGCCGUAA
Molecule: ribosomal RNA, 502 nt
Filed under: uncultured bacterium
Lineage: Bacteria
Description: partial 16S ribosomal RNA
Rfam family: Bacterial small subunit ribosomal RNA
Source: RNAcentral